GAUGAACGCUGGCGGCGUGCCUAAUACAUGCCAGUCGAGCGAACAGACGAGGAGCUUGCUCCUCUGACGUUAGCGGCGGACGGGUGAGUAACACGUGGAUAACCUACCUAUAAGACUGGGAUAACUUCGGGAAACCGGAGCUAAUACCGGAUAAUAUAUUGAACCGCAUGGUUCAAUAGUGAAAGACGGUUUUGCUGUCACUUAUAGAUGGAUCCGCGCCGCAUUAGCUAGUUGGUAAGGUAACGGCUUACCAAGGCAACGAUGCGUAGCCGACCUGAGAGGGUGAUCGGCCACACGGGAACUGAGACACGGUCCAGACUCCUACGGGAGGCAGCAGUAGGGAAUCUUCCGCAAUGGGCGAAAGCUUGACGGAGCAACGCCGCGUGAGUGAUGAAGGUCUUCGGAUCGUAAAACUCUGUUAUUAGGGAAGAACAAAUGUGUAAGUAACUAUGCACGUCUUGACGGUACCUAAUCAGAAAGCCACGGCUAACUACGUG
This 497-nucleotide ribosomal RNA is filed under the name uncultured bacterium. RNAcentral describes it as "partial 16S ribosomal RNA". It matches the Rfam family "Bacterial small subunit ribosomal RNA", at positions 28 to 507 of the family's 1533-position model. The record is from RNAcentral.